RNAcentral lists this microRNA precursor (57 nucleotides) under Eptatretus burgeri (inshore hagfish). RNAcentral's name for it is "Ebu-Mir-17-P3f-v2_pre stem-loop". The record is from RNAcentral. Lineage: Eukaryota; Metazoa; Chordata; Myxini; Myxiniformes; Myxinidae.
AAAGUGCAAACAGUGAUAGGUGCUGCUUUAAUGUUACCUUCUCUGUUUGCACUUACC